RNAcentral lists this unclassified non-coding RNA (378 nucleotides) under fungal sp. Its description in RNAcentral is "partial internal transcribed spacer region". The stretch from base 1 to 46 matches the Rfam family "Eukaryotic small subunit ribosomal RNA", at positions 1786 to 1831 of the family's 1831-position model. Lineage: Eukaryota; Fungi. The record is from RNAcentral.
AAGUCGUAACAAGGUAUUCGUAGGUGAACCUGCGAAUGGAUCAUUAACACUAAUGAACCCAAAAUACCCAAAACAACAAACAAGGUCAGCCACGAAAUUCGUGCAGAAAUGCAUGUCCGAGUGUUUGAUCUGAGAACUUGGUGGGAAGAAGGAUUGAACAGGUGCGCGCUUUGUGUGCUCCUUGUUGAAUUCUACUUCCUUCACAAUUUUCUAUAUUCAAUCUUAUUCAAACAACCAAUUCCAAUCAUCAGAACUUGCCUUUUAUUAGGCACUGGCUCUGUUUCUAAAACCAAGCCUUCAACAACCGUUCACGGUUUUGUUGUUGGAUACAUUAACAACAAUUGAAUACAACUCGUUGCAAUGGAUAUCUUGGUUCUC